GACGAACGCUGGCGGCGUGCUUAACACAUGCAAGUCGAACGGAAAGGCCCUGCUUUUGUGGGGUUCUCGAGUGGCGAACGGGUGAGUAACACGUGAGUAACCUGCCCUUGACUUUGGGAUAACUUCAGGAAACUGGGGCUAAUACCGGAUAGGAGCUCCUGCUGCAUGGUGGGGGUUGGAAAGUUUCGGCGGUUGGGGAUGGACUCGCGGCUUAUCAGCUUGUUGGUGGGGUAGUGGCUUACCAAGGCUUUGACGGGUAGCCGGCCUGAGAGGGUGACCGGCCACAUUGGGACUGAGAUACGGCCCAGACUCCUACGGGAGGCAGCAGUGGGGAAUAUUGCACAAUGGGCGGAAGCGUGAUGCAGCAACGCCGCGUGCGGGAUGACGGCCUUCGGGUUGUAAACCGCUUUCGCCUGUGACGAAGCGUGAGUGACGGUAAUGGGUAAAGAAGCACCGGCUAACUACGUG
RNAcentral lists this ribosomal RNA (468 nucleotides) under uncultured bacterium. RNAcentral's name for it is "partial 16S ribosomal RNA". It matches the Rfam family "Bacterial small subunit ribosomal RNA", at positions 28 to 507 of the family's 1533-position model. The record is from RNAcentral.